CCUACGGGUGGCAGCAGUGAGGAAUAUUGGUCAAUGGGCGCGAGCCUGAACCAGCCAAGUCGCGUGAAGGAUGAAGGAUCUCUGGUUUGUAAACUUCUUUUAUAUGGGAAUAAAGUGAGGAACGUGUUCCUUUUUGUAUGUACCAUAUGAAUAAGCAUCGGCUAACUCCGUGCCAGCAGCCGCGGUAAUACGGAGGAUGCGAGCGUUAUCCGGAUUUAUUGGGUUUAAAGGGUGCGUAGGUGGUUAAUUAAGUCAGCGGUGAAAGUUUGUGGCUCAACCAUAAAAUUGCCGUUGAAACUGGUUGACUUGAGUAUAUUUGAGGUAGGCGGAAUGCGUGGUGUAGCGGUGGAAUGCAUAGAUAUCACGCAGAACUCCGAUUGCGAAGGCAGCUUACUAAACUAUAACUGACACUGAAGAACGAAAGCGUGGGGAGCAAACAGGAUUAGAUACCCCUGUAGUC
Molecule: ribosomal RNA, 460 nt
Filed under: uncultured bacterium
Lineage: Bacteria
Description: partial 16S ribosomal RNA
Rfam family: Bacterial small subunit ribosomal RNA
Source: RNAcentral